RNAcentral lists this ribosomal RNA (329 nucleotides) under uncultured bacterium. RNAcentral describes it as "bacterial SSU rRNA". It matches the Rfam family "Bacterial small subunit ribosomal RNA", at positions 524 to 850 of the family's 1533-position model. The record is from RNAcentral.
UACGUAGGUGGCGAGCGUUACUCGGAAUUACUAGGCGUAAGGCGUAUGUAGGCUGUCGUAUAAGUCUUUAGUAAAAUUUCCCGGCUCAACCGAGAAAAGCCUAAUGGAUACUGUUCGACUUGAGUGUGGGAGAGGGAGACGGAAUUCCUGGUGUAGCGGUGAAAUGCGUAGAUAUCAGGAGGAACACCGAUGGCGAAAGCAGUCUCCUGGACCAAUACUGACGCUGAUGUACGAAAGCUAGGGUAGCAAACAGGAUUAGAUACCCUGGUAGUCCUAGCUGUAAACUAUGUUCACUAGAUGUGGGAGGUAUCGACCCCUUCCGCGUCGAC